UAACCAUGACUGUACUGUAGGUCUACUAACCAUGACUGACUGUAGGUCUACAAACCAUGACUGUAGGUCUAUUAACCAUGUCUGUACUGUAGGUCUACUAACCAUGUCUGUACUGUAGGUCUACUAACCAUGUCUGUACUGUAUGUCUGCUAACCAUGUCUGUACUGUAGGUCUACUAACCAUGUCUGUACUGUAGGUCUAGUAACCAUGUCUGUACUGUAGGUCUAGUAACCAUGUCUGUACUGUAGGUCUGUUAACCAUGUCUGUACUGUAGGUCUACUAACCAUUACUGUACUGUAGGUCUAGUAACCAUGUCUGUACUGUAGGUCUACUAACCAUGUCUGUACUGUAGGUCUACUGGGUGUAGGUCUACUAACCAUGUCUGUACUGUAGGUCUACUAACCAUGUCUGUACUGUAGGUCUACUAACCAUGACUGACUGUAGGUCUACUAACCAUGUCUGUACUGUAGGUCUCCUAACCAUGACUGUACUGUAGGUCUACUAACCAUGUCUGUACUGUAGGACUACUAACCAUGUCUGUACUGUAGGUCUACUAACCAUGACUGUACUGUAGGCCUACUAACCAUUACUGUACUGUCGGUCUACAAACCAUGACUGUACUGUAGGUCUACUAACCAUGACUAUAGGCCUACUAACCAAGUCUGUACUGUAGGUCUAUUAACCAUGUCUGUACUGUAGGCCUACUAACCAAGUCUGUACUGUAGGUCUACUAACCAUGUCUGUACUGUAGGUCUAGUAACCAUGUCUGUACUGUAGGUCUACUAACC
This 788-nucleotide long non-coding RNA is filed under the name Salmo salar (Atlantic salmon). RNAcentral's name for it is "lncRNA (ENSSSAG00000099156.1)". The record is from RNAcentral. Lineage: Eukaryota; Metazoa; Chordata; Actinopteri; Salmoniformes; Salmonidae.